RNAcentral lists this ribosomal RNA (1355 nucleotides) under Salmonella enterica subsp. enterica serovar Virchow. Its description in RNAcentral is "partial 23S ribosomal RNA". It matches the Rfam family "Bacterial large subunit ribosomal RNA", at positions 161 to 1556 of the family's 2925-position model. The record is from RNAcentral. Lineage: Bacteria; Pseudomonadati; Pseudomonadota; Gammaproteobacteria; Enterobacterales; Enterobacteriaceae.
AAUCCAUAGGUUAAUGAGGCGAACCGGGGGAACUGAAACAUCUAAGUACCCCGAGGAAAAGAAAUCAACCGAGAUUCCCCCAGUAGCGGCGAGCGAACGGGGAGGAGCCCAGAGCCUGAAUCAGCAUGUGUGUUAGUGGAAGCGUCUGGAAAGGCGCGCGAUACAGGGUGACAGCCCCGUACACAAAAGCGCAUGUGCUGUGAGCUCGAUGAGUAGGGCGGGACACGUGGUAUCCUGUCUGAAUAUGGGGGGACCAUCCUCCAAGGCUAAAUACUCCUGACUGACCGAUAGUGAACCAGUACCGUGAGGGAAAGGCGAAAAGAACCCCGGCGAGGGGAGUGAAAAAGAACCUGAAACCGUGUACGUACAAGCAGUGGGAGCACAGGUUUACCUGUGUGACUGCGUACCUUUUGUAUAAUGGGUCAGCGACUUAUAUUCUGUAGCAAGGUUAACCGAAUAGGGGAGCCGGAGGGAAACCGAGUCUUAAUUGGGCGUUAAGUUGCAGGGUAUAGACCCGAAACCCGGUGAUCUAGCCAUGGGCAGGUUGAAGGUUGGGUAACACUAACUGGAGGACCGAACCGACUAAUGUUGAAAAAUUAGCGGAUGACCUGUGGCUGGGGGUGAAAGGCCAAUCAAACCGGGAGAUAGCUGGUUCUCCCCGAAAGCUAUUUAGGUAGCGCCUCGUGAAUUCAUCUCCGGGGGUAGAGCACUGUUUCGGCUAGGGGGCCAUCCCGGCUUACCAACCCGAUGCAAACUGCGAAUACCGGAGAAUGUUAUCACGGGAGACACACGGCGGGUGCUAACGUCCGUCGUGAAGAGGGAAACAACCCAGACCGCCAGCUAAGGUCCCAAAGUCAUGGUUAAGUGGGAAACGAUGUGGGAAGGCCCAGACAGCCAGGAUGUUGGCUUAGAAGCAGCCAUCAUUUAAAGAAAGCGUAAUAGCUCACUGGUCGAGUCGGCCUGCGCGGAAGAUGUAACGGGGCUAAACCAUGCACCGAAGCUGCGGCAGCGACACUCAGGUGUUGUUGGGUAGGGGAGCGUUCUGUAAGCCUGUGAAGGUGGCCUGUGAGGGUUGCUGGAGGUAUCAGAAGUGCGAAUGCUGACAUAAGUAACGAUAAAGCGGGUGAAAAGCCCGCUCGCCGGAAGACCAAGGGUUCCUGUCCAACGUUAAUCGGGGCAGGGUGAGUCGACCCCUAAGGCGAGGCCGAAAGGCGUAGUCGAUGGGAAACGGGUUAAUAUUCCCGUACUUGGUGUUACUGCGAAGGGGGGACGGAGAAGGCUAUGUUGGCCGGGCGACGGUUGUCCCGGUUUAAGCGUGUAGGUGUGUGUUCCAGGUAAAUCCGGUUCACUUUAAC